This 643-nucleotide ribosomal RNA is filed under the name Thelotrema inspersoporinaceum. RNAcentral describes it as "SSU rRNA". It matches the Rfam family "Bacterial small subunit ribosomal RNA", at positions 493 to 1206 of the family's 1533-position model. Lineage: Eukaryota; Fungi; Ascomycota; Lecanoromycetes; Ostropales; Graphidaceae. The record is from RNAcentral.
UGACCAAAUCACGUGCCAGCAGUUGCGGUAAUACGGGGAAGAUAAGUGUUAUUCAUGUUUAACAGGUUUAAAGGGUACCUAGACGGUUAAUUUAACCCUUAAAUGUAUUAAUUAACUAGAGUUUGAUAUAGGAAGGAUUGAGUACGGUGAGUGAAGAGAUAAAAUUUUAUUAGACCCCUAAGGAACUGGUAAAGGGGAAGGCAACCUUGUAUGUAAAAACUGACGUUAAGGGAAGAAGGCUCAUGUUAAAAAAUAGGAUUAGAGACCCUAGUAUUUUGGGCAGACAAUGAUGAGUGUCAUUUGCAAGAGAAAAAAAAAAUAAAAUUUUGUGUAUAAAUGAAAGUGUAAGCACUCCACCUCAAGAGUAACGUGGCAACACGGGAACUGAAAUCAUUAGACCGUUUCUGAAACUCGUAGUGAAGUAUGUUGUUUAAUUUGAUAAUCCACAAAUAACCUUACCACAAUUUGUAUAACAUCGGCUUUGAGAUGUAACAAGUGUUGCACGGCUGUCUUCAGUCAAUGUUGUGAAACUGUGGUUAGAUCCAUGGAAUUGACGUAAACCCUUGCUUUAUUUAUUAUAGAGUAGUUCGCCGCUAUAUUGGUAGUGAUAUAUGGACUAAGACAAGUCAUCAUGACCUNUUUC